Chenopodium quinoa (quinoa) is the source of this 2032-nucleotide RNA transcript. RefSeq lists it as uncharacterized. NCBI's taxonomy places the organism in Eukaryota, Viridiplantae, Streptophyta, Magnoliopsida, Caryophyllales, Amaranthaceae. The record is from RefSeq and is a predicted model, not a curated record. The transcript has 4 exons.
AUAUAAAAAUUAGAUUGGCAUACACGUCUCUGAAUCUUUGAUCCGUUCCUCAUAAGUGAGAGUCACCAGUCACCACUAACACUAAUUAGGGUUUCGAACUUCGGCAGUCAAUGUACGGCGGGAAGUGGCGGCGCUGCACGAGGUCUUCAAUUCGCUCGACAAUAUUAGUUACUCCACUCUUGUGCAGAUCAGAAUGUCUUCUGGAAGCUUUAGUGAGGGUUCUUCAUCAUUGUUGUUGUCAUCGAGGCGGGUGGAAAAUACGGUGUUCUUGUUCAUGACUCAUAGUCCAUCAAAUCGUAUCGCUCACACCUUCUUCUGCUGUGACAUCCCUACCAACUUGCCUAAUGAUGAAGUCGACUUCAAAGAUGAUUUAGAAGCGGAGAGGCUAAAGCCAAUAUUGGAGUUUCCCUCCAGUGAAUUCCCAAAUUUUAUGACGUGUACGCAGCUUGGGUCCUGUUUUUAUUUUCUGGGUGGGCAGCUCCUUCAGAUGGGUACCAAUGUUGAACAGAUAUAUCCUUCUAAUGUGUAUAUGUUUAAUGCAACUACAAUCACAAAUACUACUUCUACUCAUCCUACCCCAUUAGAGUGCGGGAUGAGGAGUGGGAAGCCUCGUGCUUGCACGUUUGUUGCAGAUGGAAAGCUUUACGUUUUGGGUGCUUUCCAAAAUAUCUGUGGCCUGGAUGAAAACUAUAAAUCCAUACAAUUAUUUGAGGUCUAUAAUCCUGAAACGGGCAAGUGGCGGAAUCUGAAGGAUCCUCCCGUGGAAAAACCACUACACUGGCGUAUCCCCUCGUUUGAAAGAGUGUCUGAGUCUGGAGACAGCCCUUACUAUCCCUACACCCGCAAGGUGGCUUUGAUUGGUCGACCAGCAGACUCUCGUUGUACGAUUGUGCUCGAGUUCAAUCUGGACACUGAAGAAUGCACUCCAAUGAGGCAGAUGAUUCUGUAUCUGCCUUUAGGUUUGAUAAUGGGUGACACAGUGUACCAUCUUGGCGUCAGAGGAAUAAAGUAUUGUCAACCUAAAAAGACGAAGAUUUUACCAAAUCAUCCAUGGAUGAUGGGGGAGGAGUUGUUUACUUUGCCAGGAGACCCUUGUUUUUGUGGGUUGCAGAAUGCUUUUUGCCACCUUGGAGACAAGCAUUUCUGCUAUGUGAGUACUGAGCUUGUUGGCCGCCGAUGUUAUGGGGGUACUCACCUUUUUAUCCGAAUGGGUGUUAUUAGAGUUGUACAAGAGCAGGAUUCAUCCAGGUCUGAGUUGCUAUAUUCUGCCAAAUUUGAUUACGAAGUUGAAUUUUGCCUGUUUCAAUAAUAGGUUUCCCUUCAUUGACUGCUAUGGGCUCUACCUUGACAAGGAGAGCUAAACUAGAUGUUACCCACGCUUGCCCUCCCUAAAAUCAUGGAUUCUAUAAGGUGUAUAAUUCUAUUUGGUUUGAGGAAUCCGUCUCACUUCUAUUCGAUUCCAAUUGCUGUGUUUGGACCCGUUUCAUUUCUACUAUUUGAUUCCAUUUGCUUUUUUUUUUCUUUCCUUGUUGGUAAAUAAAGGAUUAUAUUAAGUACCAAAAUGUCAUUAUACAACCUAAGAACUUUGGAGGUUCCAAGUAAGGACCCUCUAAAGGAAGGGUCCUAUGCAUGCUCAAAUAUAUAAAACUCAACCUUCUGGAUCUACAUUGCCUUCUCUUCUUCAAAUGGCUAUGUUAUCUGAAAUUUUCAGUGAGUUACAGGUGAACACUAAGCAGUGAGGACCGAGAGCCACAGAGAAGUAUUGUGUGCCUCAAGAAACAGUCUUGAGUGAGACACAAAGGUCGUUACCGUGUUUUCUUUUUCUUUCUUUUUUUCUUUUUUUUCGUGUGGGCAGUAAUUGUCCUCUAAUACAUGAUUUAGUUUUUAAUACAAAUAAAAGCUUUUGUUAAGUCAUUAGUGUAUGCAAUAGAUAAACUUCCUAACAUAUCCCAGCAUCCCUCUGUGGAUUUCUGUAAGCACGUACUGUGGUUCUAUUACUGUAACAGUUUGGUAAAGUGAUGUAUUAUCUUUA